RNAcentral lists this ribosomal RNA (301 nucleotides) under uncultured bacterium. RNAcentral describes it as "partial 16S ribosomal RNA". It matches the Rfam family "Bacterial small subunit ribosomal RNA", at positions 509 to 807 of the family's 1533-position model. The record is from RNAcentral.
CAGUAGCCACGGUAAUACAGAGGGUGCGAGCGUUAAUCGGAUUUACUGGGCGUAAAGCGUGCGUAGGCGGCUUUUUAAGUCGGAUGUGAAAUCCCUGAGCUUAACUUAGGAAUUGCAUUCGAUACUGGGAAGCUAGAGUAUGGGAGAGGAUGGUAGAAUUCCAGGUGUAGCGGUGAAAUGCGUAGAGAUCUGGAGGAAUACCGAUGGCGAAGGCAGCCAUCUGGCCUAAUACUGACGCUGAGGUACGAAAGCAUGUGGAGCAAACAGGAUUAGAUACCCCUGUAGUCCCUGUCUCUUAUAC